AUAAAUCCGGGUUAAGGAUUGAAGUGGAAAGCCCACAGCUCCUUUUUUGGUGCGCGGACUUGUAACGAAAAGCCUGACCACGC
This 83-nucleotide unclassified non-coding RNA is filed under the name Algibacter pectinivorans. Its description in RNAcentral is "Flavo-1 RNA". Lineage: Bacteria; Pseudomonadati; Bacteroidota; Flavobacteriia; Flavobacteriales; Flavobacteriaceae. The record is from RNAcentral.